This is a long non-coding RNA of Chinchilla lanigera (long-tailed chinchilla), 1964 nucleotides long. Lineage: Eukaryota; Metazoa; Chordata; Mammalia; Rodentia; Chinchillidae. The record is from Ensembl.
GAGCUGCAUAGGUCUGAGGGCUCUAACUUGUGAGUGGGAUUAGUACCCCAGUAAGAGAGGCCUGAGGGAUUUGUCUGUCUGUCCCUCCACCAGGUGAGGAUGCAGCAAACAGCUGUGUUCGAAGAGAGAGCCCUCGAGGAAUCUACUGGCACCUUGAACAUCAUGGCCUUUCCGGCCCCUAGAACCAUGAGCGGUAGACUGUUGGUUAUGCAUGGUCCAGACCAAAGUAUUCUGGUUCAGCAACCCAAGCGGACUAGACAAGGAAGGAUAUGGAAACGGGUGGAACCCAGCUGCCACCACGGGACGCUGUCAGUCCCCAUGCCACCGGUCAGCCCUGCCGCAUGCAUCUUGGGCUCGACCUAACCUGAAGAUGCUCUUCCAAGUGUCCAAGGGCUCUAGCAAGAAGGCCAUCCACAACCGAAGCUCCUGGACCCUGCACCAGACUGUGAGCCCUAAUCAACCUCUGCUCUUCAUGACUCACCCAGUCUGUGGUGCUGCGCUAUUAGCAGCAGAAAACAAACAAGACAGCUCUCAAGGGUCCACGCUAACCAUGCCACUGUCCCCUCACAGGCGUCAGUGCAGGGGCCAGCCCCUUCCAUGCCAAAAGCAAUGACAGCCACCCCUCCACCAGCACUUUCUAGGUGCCAGGCACUAAAGAAAAACGAGCAGAGAAGACCAAACAGCAAAGAAUGAGUGCCAGGCAAGUUUCACUGCCAAGCAAGCCACCCAAGCCAGGAGUCCAGGCAGAGGCUGGGAGGGGAGAGGAGGGGAAUCUUAAGGCCAGCCUAUCACAGCCCUUCCGUGCCUUAGGAGGCAGCCAAGCUCUGCACUCUGUGACCAGGGGUCAGCGUGGCUCUUGCAGGCGAGGCUGAGGGUACACUGCCCUCCCCGAUGGUGGUGUCCGGCUGCUCCACCCCACAUUCACCGCCCCGCCAGUGUCUGCACAGAGCGCCGUGAGCACGACGCUGACCCUCACAACUAUCCCACAAACAACGGCUCCUCCUCCCCAUUUCCGAACAGGAAACUGAGGCCCGGAGAGGUCAGGGAUUCUUCAGAAGCCCGAGUUGGAAGGUGGUUGGGCUGGGAUUUGAGCCUGGAUCCGGCCUCCUGCAAAGGACGUACAGAAAUGCCAGCCCUGGUGAGGCGGCAAGCAGGUGGCUGUAAGGCCGAGCCCAGAAUCCUCAGAAGCAUGCGGCGGGUAGCGGGGAACCAGUCCAGAAGGCGGGGCCACAACACCCGGGGUUGGGGAGCUGCCCAGGGGAGCAAGGGAGAAUGUGGGGUGUGUGCCCAGGCCGCGUGGGACCAGCUCCCUCCCUACUCCCAGGCGCCAGACCUGGGGGCGAUCUUUCAACUCCAGCCGGUCGUCCUCCCCCUGCGCCGGCUUCCCGCCCGCGUCUCCGGAAGCCGCACUGGCUCUGCAGACACCCCUUGGUGAAGGCAGCUCAUUACAGGACGGGAUGUGUGCUGGAACAGGAGCUCAAUAAAUCACCCGCUCCCUAGCCCAGUGGGCAGGGGUGGGGAGCACUGCGCGGAGACGGCGCAUUGUGUGUGCCUCGACCUGACACCCCAUGUUUCAGAAGGGUGAGCCUUACAACCCGGCCUGCCUGCUCGCAACAGCACCGAGCCUGUGGUCCCCACCUCGGCCUCUAGAGGACGCUCUACGGGAGGAAAGCCCUGCGGGGAGCCACGGCCGCUGGCCACUCUAGGGAUUCCACCCGCUCUCGGCCAACUGCGUGCCAAAGGGACCUUGCCGGGCACAUAGGAGCCCCAGAGGACCCGUGUCCCUGAAAAACACCGAACCCUUCCUAGCUCCUGCUCCCCGCUGUCCUGGGGCAGGGCAAGUCGACCUGGGGGGCCUUUCUCUUUCAGUCCUGAUUCAAAUCUAACCCACUGGGCACCACGUGCCUCAGUUUCCUCCUCUGAGCAGGGCCUGCCCCCGGUACUUCCUGAAGACCCCUGCGUGC